This 1433-nucleotide ribosomal RNA is filed under the name uncultured organism. Its description in RNAcentral is "16S ribosomal RNA". It matches the Rfam family "Bacterial small subunit ribosomal RNA". The record is from RNAcentral.
GCUUAACACAUGCAAGUCGAGGGGCAGCAUGGUCUUAGCUUGCUAAGGCCGAUGGCGACCGGCGCACGGGUGAGUAACGCGUAUCCAACCUGCCUUACACUCUUGGACAGCCUUCUGAAAGGGAGAUUAAUACAAGAUGUUAUCAUGAGUAAGCAUUUUCACAUGAUUAAAGGUUUACCGGUGUAAGAUGGGGAUGCGUUCCAUUAGAUAGUAGGCGGGGUAACGGCCCACCUAGUCUUCGAUGGAUAGGGGUUCUGAGAGGAAGGUCCCCCACAUUGGAACUGAGACACGGUCCAAACUCCUACGGGAGGCAGCAGUGAGGAAUAUUGGUCAAUGGACGAGAGUCUGAACCAGCCAAGUAGCGUGAAGGAUGAAGGUUCUAUGGAUUGUAAACUUCUUUUAUACGGGAAUAAACGAAUCCACGUGUGGAUUUUUGCAUGUACCGUAUGAAUAAGGAUCGGCUAACUCCGUGCCAGCAGCCGCGGUAAUACGGAGGAUCCGAGCGUUAUCCGGAUUUAUUGGGUUUAAAGGGAGCGUAGAUGGGUUGUUAAGUCAGUUGUGAAAGUUUGCGGCUCAACCGUAAAAUUGCAAUUGAUACUGGCAGUCUUGAGUACAGUUGAGGUAGGCGGAAUUCGUGGUGUAGCGGUGAAAUGCUUAGAUAUCACGAAGAACUCCGAUUGCGAAGGCAGCUUACUAACCUGUAACUGACAUUGAUGCUCGAAAGUGUGGGUAUCAAACAGGAUUAGAUACCCUGGUAGUCCACACGGUAAACGAUGAAUACUCGCUGUAGGCGAUAUACAGUCUGCGGCCAAGCGAAAGCAUUAAGUAUUCCACCUGGGGAGUACGCCGGCAACGGUGAAACUCAAAGGAAUUGACGGGGGCCCGCACAAGCGGAGGAACAUGUGGUUUAAUUCGAUGAUACGCGAGGAACCUUACCCGGGCUUAAAUUGCAACCGAAUAUGGCGGAAACGCUAUAGCUAGCAAUAGCGGUUGUGAAGGUGCUGCAUGGUUGUCGUCAGCUCGUGCCGUGAGGUGUCGGCUUAAGUGCCAUAACGAGCGCAACCCUUGCCGAUAGUUACUAACAGGUCAUGCUGAGGACUCUGUCGGGACUGCCAUCGUAAGAUGUGAGGAAGGUGGGGAUGACGUCAAAUCAGCACGGCCCUUACGUCCGGGGCUACACACGUGUUACAAUGGGGGGUACAGAGGGCUGCUACCACGCAAGAGGAUGCCAAUCCCAAAAACCUCUCUCAGUUCGGAUUGAAGUCUGCAACCCGACUUCAUGAAGCUGGAUUCGCUAGUAAUCGCGCAUCAGCCACGGCGCGGUGAAUACGUUCCCGGGCCUUGUACACACCGCCCGUCAAGCCAUGGGAGCCGGGGGUACCUGAAGUGCGUAACCGCAAGGAGCGCCCUAGGGUAAAACUGGUGACUGGGGC